GGGCACCAGGACUUGGGCGUGCAGGACGCCAGGACUUGGGCGUGCGGGACGCCAGAGCUGGGUCAGAGCUCGAGCCAGCGGCGCCCGGAGAGACUCGGAGAUGCAGGCGGCUCGGAUGGCCCCGAGCUUGGGGCGGCAGCUGCUGAGGCUCGGGGUCGGAAGGUCUGUGUGUGACAAGUGGGACGGUGGGCAGCGGCCCUGGGCACCGGGCCAGGACUGAACUCCCACUCCCCACAGCUCGCGGCUCACGGCGCUCCUGGGGCAGCCCCGGCCCGGCCCUGCCCGGCGGCCCUAUGCCGGAGGUGCCGCUCAGCUGGCUCUGGACAAGUCAGAUUCCCACCCCUCUGACGCUCUGACCAGGAAAAAACCGGCCAAGGCGGUAGGUAGCCCCGAGGCCAGGUGGACCUUAGCCAGACCCAACCAGAGCCCUGAAAUUCGCCUCUCUCUGCCCAGGAAUCUAAGUCCUUUGCUGUGGGAAUGUUCAAAGGCCAGCUCACCACAGAUCAGGUGUUCCCAUACCCGUCCGUGCUCAACGAAGAGCAGACACAGUUUCUUAAAGAGCUGGUGGAGCCUGUGUCCCGUUUCUUCGAGGAAGUGAACGAUCCUGCCAAGAAUGACGCUCUGGAGAUGGUGGAGGAGACCACUUGGCAGGGCCUCAAGGAGCUGGGGGCCUUUGGUCUGCAAGUGCCCAGUGAGCUGGGUGGUGUGGGCCUUUGCAACACCCAGUACGCCCGUUUGGUGGAGAUCGUGGGCAUGCAUGACCUUGGCGUGGGCAUUACCCUGGGGGCCCACCAGAGCAUCGGUUUCAAAGGCAUCUUGCUCUUUGGCACAAAGGCCCAGAAAGAAAAAUACCUCCCCAAGCUGGCAUCUGGGGAGACUGUGGCCGCUUUCUGUCUAACUGAGCCCUCAAGCGGGUCAGAUGCAGCCUCCAUCCGAACCUCUGCUGUGCCCAGCCCCUGUGGAAAAUACUAUACCCUCAAUGGAAGCAAGCUUUGGAUCAGGCAAUCUGCCUCCCAUUUCUCCCCUUCUCCUCCACCCAAUUCCAGGCCCCACUGCUCCCCGUCCUCCAUGCCCUGAAUAUCCCCUCAUUCUUCCACAGUAAUGGGGGCCUAGCAGACAUCUUCACAGUCUUUGCCAAGACACCAGUUACAGAUCCAGCCACAGGAGCCGUGAAGGAGAAGAUCACAGCUUUUGUGGUGGAGAGGGGCUUCGGGGGCGUUACCCAGUGAGUGAAUUUGGGUUGGGGGAGCUUAGGACUGAGGGGCAGGACUGGGCUCCUGGGCAGAUGGCUGUUGCAAAUCACCCUGGGGAUGUGUGCAAAGGCCAAAGCAGGUGGACUGCAUGUGGCCUUUGGGACUAAUAUGUAUGAAACUGAGCUAAAGUUUUG
Molecule: small RNA, 1387 nt
Filed under: Pongo abelii (Sumatran orangutan)
Lineage: Eukaryota; Metazoa; Chordata; Mammalia; Primates; Hominidae
Description: retained intron
Source: RNAcentral